This 30-nucleotide ribosomal RNA is filed under the name Agaricostilbomycetes sp. TY-360. RNAcentral's name for it is "partial 18S ribosomal RNA". Lineage: Eukaryota; Fungi; Basidiomycota; Agaricostilbomycetes. The record is from RNAcentral.
UCCGUACGUGAACCUGCGGAGGAUCAUUAG